GACGAACGCUGGCGGCGUGCUUAACACAUGCCAGUCGAACGGAAAGGCCCUGCUUUUGUGGGGUGCUCGAGUGGCGAACGGGUGAGUAACACGUGAGUAACCUGCCCUUGACUUUGGGAUAACUUCAGGAAACUGGGGCUAAUACCGGAUAGGAGCUCCUGCUGCAUGGUGGGGGUUGGAAAGUUUCGGCGGUUGGGGAUGGACUCGCGGCUUAUCAGCUUGUUGGUGGGGUAGUGGCUUACCAAGGCUUUGACGGGUAGCCGGCCUGAGAGGGUGACCGGCCACAUUGGGACUGAGAUACGGACCAGACUCCUACGGGAGGCAGCAGUGGGGAAUAUUGCACAAUGGGCGGAAGCCUGAUGAAGCAACGCCGCGUGCGGGAUGACGGCCUUCGGGUUGUAAACCGCUUUCGCCUGUGACGAAGCGUGAGUGACGGUAAUGGGUAAAGAAGCACCGGCUAACUACGUG
RNAcentral lists this ribosomal RNA (468 nucleotides) under uncultured bacterium. RNAcentral describes it as "partial 16S ribosomal RNA". It matches the Rfam family "Bacterial small subunit ribosomal RNA", at positions 28 to 507 of the family's 1533-position model. The record is from RNAcentral.